RNAcentral lists this ribosomal RNA (474 nucleotides) under uncultured bacterium. RNAcentral describes it as "bacterial SSU rRNA". It matches the Rfam family "Bacterial small subunit ribosomal RNA", at positions 30 to 498 of the family's 1533-position model. The record is from RNAcentral.
AUUGAACGCUGGCGGCAUGCCUUACACAUGCAAGUCGAACGGCAGCACGGGGCAACCUGGUGGCGAGUGGCGAACGGGUGAGUAAUGCAUCGGAACGUGCCAUUGAGUGGGGGAUAACGUAGCGAAAGUUGCGCUAAUACCGCAUAUUCUGUGAGCAGGAAAGCAGGGGACCGCAAGGCCUUGCGCUCUUUGAGCGGCCGAUGUCAGAUUAGCUAGUUGGUGGAGGUAACGGCUUACCAAGGCGACGAUCUGUAGCGGGUCUGAGAGGAUGAUCCGCCACACUGGAACUGAGACACGGUCCAGACUCCUACGGGAGGCAGCAGUGGGGAAUUUUGGACAAUGGGCGCAAGCCUGAUCCAGCCAUGCCGCGUGUGUGAAGAAGGCCUGCGGGUUGUAAAGCACUUUCAGUGGGGGAAGAACGGAUACGGGCCAAUACCCGCAUCACUGACGUUACCCACAGAAGAAGCACCGGCU